Molecule: ribosomal RNA, 603 nt
Filed under: uncultured Chaetomium
Lineage: Eukaryota; Fungi; Ascomycota; Sordariomycetes; Sordariales; Chaetomiaceae
Description: eukaryotic LSU rRNA
Rfam family: 5.8S ribosomal RNA (bases 237-390)
Source: RNAcentral
UCUUGGUCAUUUAGAGGAAGUAAAAGUCGUAACAAGGUCUCCGUUGGUGAACCAGCGGAGGGAUCAUUACAGAGUUGCAAACUCCCUAAACCAUUGUGAACGUUACCUAAACCGUUGCUUCGGCGGGCGGCGCGCCCUCGCGCGCGCCCCUGGGCCCCACCGCGGGCGCCCGCCGGAGGUCACCAAACUCUUGAUAUUAAUUGGCCUCUCUGAGUCUUCUGUACUGAAUAAGUCAAAACUUUCAACAACGGAUCUCUUGGUUCUGGCAUCGAUGAAGAACGCAGCGAAAUGCGAUAAGUAAUGUGAAUUGCAGAAUUCAGUGAAUCAUCGAAUCUUUGAACGCACAUUGCGCCCGCCAGUAUUCUGGCGGGCAUGCCUGUUCGAGCGUCAUUUCAACCAUCAAGCCCCCGGCUUGUGUUGGGGACCUGCGGCUGCCCGCAGGCCCUGAAAACCAGUGGCGGGCUCGCUAGUCACACCGAGCGUAGUAGCAUACAUCUCGCUCAGGGCGUGCUGCGGGUUCCGGCCGUUAAACGACCUUCAUAACCCAAGGUUGACCUCGGAUCAGGUAGGAAGACCCGCUGAACUUAAGCAUAUCAAUAAGCG